RNAcentral lists this ribosomal RNA (245 nucleotides) under Alkalihalophilus pseudofirmus. RNAcentral's name for it is "Bacillus pseudofirmus partial 23S ribosomal RNA". It matches the Rfam family "Bacterial large subunit ribosomal RNA", at positions 2685 to 2925 of the family's 2925-position model. The record is from RNAcentral. Lineage: Bacteria; Bacillati; Bacillota; Bacilli; Caryophanales; Bacillaceae.
GAGAGGACCGGGAUGGACACACCGCUGGUGUACCAGUUGUUCCGCCAGGAGCAUCGCUGGGUAGCUACGUGUGGACGGGAUAAGUGCUGAAAGCAUCUAAGCAUGAAGCCCCCCUCAAGAUGAGAUUUCCCAUGGAGUUAAUCCAGUAAGACCCCUUAGAGAUGAUGAGGUUGAUAGGUCUGGUGUGGAAGCAUGGCGACAUGUGGAGCUGACAGAUACUAAUCGGUCGAGGACUUAUCCAAAUU